This 880-nucleotide long non-coding RNA is filed under the name Dasypus novemcinctus (nine-banded armadillo). RNAcentral's name for it is "lncRNA (ENSDNOG00000050474.1)". Lineage: Eukaryota; Metazoa; Chordata; Mammalia; Cingulata; Dasypodidae. The record is from RNAcentral.
UUGCCCUCUGCUCUGACACCAGAGCUGUCACCUUCCCCGCAUGCUGCAUACCUGAGCCUGACCUUUCCUAGGGCCAGAAGCCAGCAGGACCUCAGGGAGCCCCGGCCCUCGGCAUGCCCCCCAGGUGAGUGCAGGUGCAGCUGGGAGUGGCUGGGUACCCAGGCUGCCCCCAGUGUCCAUUCCCUCAGUCACUCCUCAGGGCCUCAGGCCUGCGGGGGCUUCAAGGGAGUCUCAGCAGCAUAAAGUCCUCCCAUGGGGCGCCCCUGGCUGCUGUGUCAGCCCAGACUGUGGGCUGUUUUGGGGUCUCCUCUGGACUCACCUGCUCCUUUGACCCUAAGAUGGCUGUGAGUCUCCCAGGAGAUGCUCUCCCAGGACUGUGUCUCCUGGAGCUGAGGACCCCCCACACCUGGAGGAGGGCCCUGCUCUGCUCACACACCUGGUGCUCACUCUCGUCUCUGCUCCCCAGGUCAUGGCUGCCCCCACAACACGGCCUCUCCAGUCCCCCUGCACGACUCCAGGGCAGCCGUUCCCAUCUAUGAGGAACUUCUAAACCGUGACACAAACAUUUAUUGUCAGAUCAACCACAAAGCAGAAGUUGCUCCAUACUUUCCCCAAGGAACUUGGGCAGCUGAGGGGAGGGGCCACGUGACCCACAGAGGCUGGGAAGGAGCUGAGCCUGUGCCCAAGGUUCAGCUCUGAGCCCAGGGAGCCACUGGGUGCUCGGGGUGGGGGCAGGUCCCUCCUGGACUCCUAGAGACCCAGAGAGGCUGCCCUGAGCUCAGGCUCAGCCAGGACAAAAUCCUCCCUUCCCAACCCUUAUGGGAUUGGGGGUCUUCCAGGAAAGUGAAAGGAGCCUGUGCCCCACCAUGGAUUACUUGGA